RNAcentral lists this long non-coding RNA (6036 nucleotides) under Homo sapiens (human). Its description in RNAcentral is "HSALNT0348301". The record is from RNAcentral. Lineage: Eukaryota; Metazoa; Chordata; Mammalia; Primates; Hominidae.
AGUUCUUUGGGAGCACCCUGGGAAACAGUGUGGCUAUGACUUGGAGCUGCUCACCAGUUCCAGUCAUUCUGUGGUUGAGAGCUGCUCCCUAUGGAUGUUAAUUCUUCUCUAUUUUAGAUUUUCCACAGGUGUGGGCCCCAUUAGCUCUGGCCACCUGAGAAAGCCCUCAGGCAAAGAGUCGCAGGUGAAAGCCAGCAGUUAGAGGUUCACAGAAAUGAGUGCAGAAGCAUCUUCAGUUGGAGAGCCAUUGCCUCUUGCUGUGAAAUAUUUGGGAAUCUUCAGAAACCAUGAAGAAUAACCUGCUAAAGGCAUCUCUAUUUUCCACAAAGCAAUAUUGAAGUUAGGCCAAUUAAUAACCCUACAAUGGCUUCUAAGUGUUUGAGGGAAAGGAAGAGUUUCAUGUCUCUCACUUGGAAUCAAAAGCUAGAAAUGAUGAAGCUUAGAGAGAAAGGCAUGUCAAAAGCCACCAUGAGCUGAAACCUGGGUCUUUUGUGCCUAACAGCCAAGUUGUGAAUGCAAAGGAAAGGUUCUUGGGAGAAAUUGAAAAUGUUAUUUGUGUGUUCACAAAUGAUAAGAAUGAGAGCAAAACAACCUUAUUUCUGAUAUGGAGAAAGUCCACGUGAUCAGGAUAGAAGGUCAAACCAGCCAUAACAUUCACUUAAGCCAAAGUCUAAUCCAGGGCAAGAACCUAACUCUUUAAGUCUGUGAAGAGUGAGAGAGGUGAGGAAGCUGCAAAGAAAAGUUUAAAGCUAGCAGAGCUUGGUUCAUGAGGUUUAAGGAAAAAAGCCAUCUCCAUAACAUAAAAGUGCAAGGUUAGGCCAUAAGUGCUGAUAGGGAAGUUGCAGUAAGUUAUCCAGAAGAUCUACCUACAAUCAUUAAUGAACAUGACUAUGCUAAACAAUAGAUUUUUUAUGUAGAUGAAACAGCCUUAUCCUGUAUUAGAAGAAGAAGCCAUAUAAAACUCCCAUAGCGAGUCAGGUGCGUUGGAUCACACCUAUAAUCCCAGCACUUUGGGAGGCUAAGGCAGGAGGAUCACUUGAGCCCAGGAGUUGAGGACCAGUCUGGGCAACAUGGCAAAACCCAGUCUCUACCAAAAAUAUAAAAAUUAGCCAGGUGUAGGGGCAUGUGCCUGUAAUCCCAGCUACUUGAGACUUGCGAGGCUGAGGUAGGAGACUCGCUUGAACCCAGGAGAUCAAGGCUACAGUGAGCCAUGAUCAUGCCACUGCUUUCCAGCCUGGGUGGAAGAGCAAGACUGUCUCAAAAAAAGAACAACAACAACAACAAACCCCCCCAAAACAAAAAGCUCUCAUAGCUAAAGAGGAAAAGUCAAUGACUGUCUUGUGAGGGGCUAAUCCAGCUGGUGACUAAGUUGAAACCAGUGCUCCUUUACCAUUCCAAAAAUCCUAGGUCCGUUAAGAAUUAUGCCAAAUCUACUCUCCCUUGUGCACAAAUGGAUGACAGCACAUCUGUUUAGAGCAUCGUUGGGUGAAUAUUUUAAGCCCACUAUUGAUAUCCACUACUCAGAAGAACAGAUUCCUUUAAAAAUAUUAAUGCUCAUUGACAUUGCACCUGGUCACUCAAGAGCCCUGAUGGAGACGUACAAGGAGAUUAACAAUGUUUUCAUGCCUGCUAACACAACACCUAUUCUGCAGCCCAUGGAUUAAGGAGUAAUCUUGACAUUCAAGUAUUGUUAUUUAAGAAAUACAUUUUGUAAGGCUAUAGCUGCUACAUACCAUGGUUCCUCUGAUGGACCUGAACAAAGUAAAUUGAAAUGACCUUCUGGAAAGGAUUUACCAUUCUAGAUGCUAUUAAAAACAUUCAUGGUUCAUGGUAAAAGGUCAAAAUAUCCACAUUAAUUGAAGUUUAGAAGAAGCUGACUCUAACCCUCAUGGAUUACUUUGAAAGAUUCAAGACUUCAGCAGAGGAAGUAACUGCAGAGACGUCUGGUGAACAACAAAAGAACUAGAAUUAAAAGUGGAACUUAAAGAUGUGACUGAAUUGCUGCAAUCUCAGAAUUGAACUAUAAUAGAUGAGGAGUUGCUUCUUAUGGAUGAGCAAAGAAGGUGUUUUUUGAGAUGGAUUCAGCCUGGUGAAGAGGCUGUAAACAUUGUUGAAGUGACAACAAAAGACUUAGAAGCUUACGUAAAUGUAUCUGAUAAGGUGGUAGGGUUUGAGAGAGUUGACUUCAAUUUUGAAAGACAUGCUACUGUGGGUAAUAUACUAUCAAAUGGCAUUGCAUCCUACAGAGAACUCUUUCAGAAAAUAAACAACCAAUACAACAAACUUUAUUGUUAUUUUGUUUUAAGAAACUGACACAGCCACCCCAAUUUUCAACAACUAUGACCCAGUCAGCAGCCAUCAACAUGCAGCCAAUAACAUGGAGUCAAGACUCUCUACCAGCAAAAAUAUUAGGACUCACUGAAGGAUUAGAUGAUUGUUAGCAUUUUUUAGCAAUUAAGUAUUUUUAAUUAAGGCAUGUACAUUAUUUUUUACACGUAAUGCUAUUGCAUACUUAACAGACUACGGCAUAGUAUAUUAUAACUUUUAUAUGCACUGGAAAACCAAAAAACGUGUGUGACUUACUUAAUUGCAAUAUUUGCUUUAUUGCAGUGAUCUGGAAUUGACCCCAAAAUAUCUCUGAUAUUGCUUAUAAUCUGCAAUAUCAAAACUUGUUUGAAACAGCCAAAACAGAGAAAUAUUUACAGCCUUGGUGCUUAAGAUAAUAUUAAAAACAUUGUUGCACUGCUUAUAUGAUACGGAGAAAGAUGAGGAAUAAACUAAACAUUUAAGUAAAGAAGCCAAACAUGAUUAAUAAAGAAAAUCCUUUAAAGAACAGUAAUUAAAAAUCUAAAUGCAACAACAAGCAGAAAACAAAACAGUAGACUUAAUAAAAUCAGAAGAUUCUAUGCAACAUAGACAAAAUGUUUGGUUAAGGACAAAAGAGGUGAUGCAAACAAACUAUAUUAGGAAUGAGAAAGAUGACAUAAAUGGAAUCAUGAAAGGAAUUUUAAAAUAAAAUAGUAUAAUAGUUUAAAACAAUUGAUUGGAAUAUAGAUUGGACAGACAAUUUUCUAGGAAAAUGUGAAUUGCUAAAUUUGAAUCACAAAGGAAAAGAAAAUUAAAACAUACUAGUGACAAUUAUGGUAAUUAAAAAUCGGUAAAAGAUCUGCUCCCAAAAGAAGGCAAAGGAUCUGGGUAGAUUUCAAGGAAUGAUAAAUUUUGAUACUUUAUACACUAUCCCAAAGCAUAGAGAGCUUUAGGAAAAAAGGAUAAUUUUUUAAUUCACUCAAAAGGGUUAGCAUCAUACUAAUAUUUAAGCCAUACAAGAAUAGCACUAAAAAAAAGCCCAUAUGUUAUAACUCAUUUAUAAAAGGAGGUGAAAAGUCUUAAAUAAAUUGUUAGUAAAUAGAAUACAAAGGUAUCAAAAAUAUAAAACAUAAAGACGUGAACUGAUUCCAAGAAUGAAAUAAUUAUUUAACAUUUGAAAAAAUUAUAAGUGCAAUUCUUCAGAAAAGGUUUAAAUAUAAUUACCUAGAAACAUUCUAAGGACAAUCCCCUAGACUCAUUAAUGCUACUAUAACUUAAUGAAAUUUAUACUCAUGCCUUAAUUUUUAAAAAUCUAUUUUAGCAAACAAAGGAAAAAAACACUUUCUUAGCUUGAAAAGGCUAUUGACUAUAAAUCUACAGUAAGCAUCAUAAUGUUGCAACAUUGGAAACAUUCCUAAUACAAUCAGGAAUAAGACAAGAAUUUAUGCUAUUACCACUACUAUUCAAGCAGGGCUCCUAAUAAUGCAAUAUAAUAAGAAAAUUAAAUAAAGGCAAAAAAUAUCAUUAUUAGCAGCCAUAAUGAUUGCCUACUUAGAAAUCAAAAGAGAAUCAACUGAGAAGCUUUCACACCUAAUAAGAGAGUUCAACAAGAAAAGCAGAUAUAGAUAAGAAUGGUUAAAUUUCACCAGCAACGGUCAAAAUAUUUAUAAUAACAAUGAAUUCAAAAUAAGUACAGAUAAACUUAAUAAGAAAUUUUCAAAACCUUUAUGAAUAAAGCUAUAAAACUUUACUGAACAAAGAUAAUACCUGAAUAAAUGGAGAAAUAUCCUGUGUUUAUAAAAGGUAAGAUUUACUACUUUAAAAUUAUACAUUAGCACCUAUAUAUUUAUAGAUUAUAUAUUUAAUAAGUUGUAAUAAAAAUUGCAAGAGGAUUUAUCAAUAGAACUUUAGAUAAUUCUAAAGGUCAUCUGAGAAAAAUACACAGAAAUAGAAAACUUUUUGGGAUAAAAUAAGGAAUGAUUUCUACUCAAUAUGAAAACAUAUUAUAAAGCUAGAAAGAUUAAAUCAUUAAAGUAUUAUUUUAGAAACAGACAGAUUAGUAGAACACAAGAGAGUCAUAAAAAUAUUCAUUUGUAUGUGAUAUUUAGUUUAUGGUAAAGAAAAUUUGUUCUAUCAGUGAGCAAAAGAUAGAGCUUUCAACAAAUGGCACAGAGAUGAUUGGCAACCAAAGCAAGGGAAAAAAUGGUUUUUAAAUAACAUCAUGUACAAAAAUAAAUUGCAGACACAUUAAAAGGUUAAAUAUUAGAAAGAAAUACAGGGGACAAGUUUUGUAAUUUUGGUGGUUGGAAAGUCCUUACUAUAUAAGAUUUACAACCUAAAGACAUAAAGGAAAAGACUGAGCUUUUACUACAUUAAAAUUAAAAGCUGCUGAUCUAUGAGUGAUACCAUAAACAAAGUAAAAAAUAAAGCAACACACGGAGCAAAACAGCAACAUAGCUGUAUUUAUUGUUAUCUAUUUAAAAGGUGAAGAUACAUAUUCACAGUGUAUAAUGUUUUAUAAGCGUUUAGGAAAAAGACAAAUAAUAUAAUUGAAAAAAUUGACAAAGACUGAACAAAAAUUAUAUGCAGAAGAAAUAUAAAUGUACAUAAAAAAAGUGAAAAAUGAUCAGUUUCAUUAGUGUUCAAGAAAGGGCAAAUUAAUAUACAAACAAUUUUUUCUCAUUAGAUUGACAAAAAUAAUAUUAAAAGUCAACAGAUAACAUUCAAAAUUGAAGUAUGGGCAAAUUUCAUAUUCUCUGUGGUUAUAUAAAUUGGGCUGACACUUUUAGAACACAAAUUCCCAAUAUUUUGAUUAGAGAAAAUUUACAAAUUUAGGUAGGUCUCACACCAGUUUUACUUCUGGAGGAGAUGGAGGGUAAGAUUGGAGAAGGGAGGAGAAAAAAUACUCACUUUGUAUACUUCUAUAUCACUGAAUAUUUUAGAGUAAGAAUAUCUUCAUUACUUAAUACUUAUGUAUUACUUAAUGUAUUUACUUUAAAAAAUAAUUGCAUUGAGUUAGAACUGUCUACACAAAUAGAAAAUGCACCCAACUUGAAGCACAAAUGUAUUAAUGAGAGUUCACUUUUGUGUCAAGUGAGGACACGUCCCUCUAGAAUGUAUAGCUUAGAUUACAAAUUACCAAAAUGUCAUCUCAUUUGUAAGAAAACACAAGACAUGGUUUGCUCACAGUCUCUCUACUGCUACUGAAACUUUUGUAAACAUUCUUUUUCCCUUUUAAUGAACAUAAAUUCAACUUCUCUGUUGAUUCCCAGAGACUCCUUAGUUGUUUCCACUGCAUAUGCCUCACUAAAUCAGACUUCAGUUAAUUAAAUUCGCUUUACAGCUGCUACAAUUCUUUUGGGCCAUUAGGCUUAAGGGGAUCUAUUAAAAAUAUAAUUUUAUGAUGUCAAAUUCAAGAGAAAAAUGGAAGAUAUUGGACUUGGGCAGAAAGGUGAACUAUUUCUAAGCAAAUAAAGAAAGCCACUCUACCCAUUAUUCUUUUUUUUUUUUAAUAAACAAGUUGAGAAAACUCUUCUGCUCAUCCAUUAUACUUUCUUAGCAAAACUCCAAACUAGGCUCAACCUUAGCAAAACUCCAAACUAGGCUCAAGCCUGCUCUUUGUCUAAAUCUGUAUUGCCAAGUCCUGCUAAAGAAAAUUAUAGAACCACUGAGAUGAGUAUGAUUAAAACUACAGUCAGUGACCCAAACUGGGCCCUCAACGCUCAGGAU